Molecule: ribosomal RNA, 403 nt
Filed under: uncultured bacterium
Lineage: Bacteria
Description: bacterial SSU rRNA
Rfam family: Bacterial small subunit ribosomal RNA
Source: RNAcentral
UAGGGAAUAUUGCAAAAUGGGCGAAAGCCCGAUGCAGCAACGCCGCGUGGGCGAUGACGGCCUUCGGGUCGUAAAGCCCUUUUUGAGGGGAUGAGGAAGGACAGUACCCUCAGAAUAAGCCUCGGCUAACUACGUGCCAGCAGCCGCGGUAAAACGUAGGAGGCGAGCGUUAUCCGGAUUUACUGGGCGUAAAGCGCGUGCAGGCGGAUUGGAGAGUUGGAUGUGAAAGCUCCCGGCUUAACUGGGAGAGGUCGUUCAAUACUUCCAGUCUUGAGUGCAGUAGAGGGAAGUGGAAUUCCGGGUGUAGUGGUGAAAUGCGUAGAUAUCCGGAGGAACACCAGUGGCGAAAGCGGCUUCCUGGACUGUAACUGACGCUCAGACGCGAAAGCUAGGGUAGCAAACG